This 89-nucleotide transfer RNA is filed under the name Leucobacter chromiisoli. It matches the Rfam family "tRNA". Rfam says of the family: Transfer RNA (tRNA) molecules are approximately 80 nucleotides in length. Lineage: Bacteria; Bacillati; Actinomycetota; Actinomycetes; Micrococcales; Microbacteriaceae. The record is from Rfam by way of RNAcentral.
GGAGAUAUGCCGGAGCGGCCGAACGGACUUCACUGCUAAUGAAGGGUCGGGCUACAACUCGACCGGGGGUUCAAAUCCCCCUAUCUCCG